Molecule: ribosomal RNA, 580 nt
Filed under: Polycephalomyces sp. NBRC 110394
Lineage: Eukaryota; Fungi; Ascomycota; Sordariomycetes; Hypocreales; Polycephalomycetaceae
Description: LSU rRNA
Rfam family: Eukaryotic large subunit ribosomal RNA
Source: RNAcentral
AAACCAACAGGGAUUGCCCCAGUAACGGCGAGUGAAGCGGCAAUAGCUCAAAUUUGAAAUCUGGCCCCCUCGGGGUCCGAGUUGUAAUUUGCAGAGGAUGCUUCUGGCGCGGCGCCUUCCGAGUUCCCUGGAACGGGACGCCACAGAGGGUGAGAGCCCCGUCCGGUCGGCCGCCAAGCCUCUGUGAAGCACCUUCGACGAGUCGGGUAGUUUGGGAAUGCUGCUCAAAAUGGGAGGUAUAUGUCUUCUAAAGCUAAAUACCGGCCAGAGACCGAUAGCGCACAAGUAGAGUGAUCGAAAGAUGAAAAGCACUUUGAAAAGAGGGUUAAACAGUACGUGAAAUUGUUGAAAGGGAAGCGCUCGUGACCAGACUUGGGCCUCGCGGAUCACCCGGCGUUCGCUCGCCGGGGCACUCCGCGGGUGCGCAGGCCAGCAUCGGUUCGCCGGCGGGGGACAAAGGCGGCGGGAACGUGGCUCCCCCUCAUAGGAGUGUUAUAGCCCGCCGCGCAAUGCCCUGCCGUGGACCGAGGUUCGCGCUUCCGCAAGGAUGCUGGCGUAAUGGUCACCAGCGACCCGUCUU